RNAcentral lists this ribosomal RNA (722 nucleotides) under uncultured cyanobacterium. RNAcentral's name for it is "bacterial SSU rRNA". It matches the Rfam family "Bacterial small subunit ribosomal RNA", at positions 1 to 773 of the family's 1533-position model. The record is from RNAcentral. Lineage: Bacteria; Bacillati; Cyanobacteriota.
GCUUAGAGUUUGAUCCUGGCUCAGGAUGAACGCUGGCGGCGUGCUUAACACAUGCAAGUCGAACGGUCUCUUCGGAGAUAGUGGCGGACGGGUGAGUAACGCGUGAGAAUCUGCCUUUAGGUUCGGGACAACAGUUGGAAACGACUGCUAAUACCGAAUGUGUCGCAAGAUGAAAGAUUUAUUGCCUAAAGAUGAGCUCGCGUCUGAUUAGCUAGUUGGUGGGGUAAAAGCGUACCAAGGCGACGAUCAGUAGCUGGUCUGAGAGGAUGAUCAGCCACACUGGGACUGAGACACGGCCCAGACUCCUACGGGAGGCAGCAGUGGGGAAUUUUCCGCAAUGGGCGAAAGCCUGACGGAGCAACGCCGCGUGAGGGAGGAAGGCUUUUGGGUUGUAAACCUCUUUUAUCAAGGAAGAUAAUGACGGUACUUGAUGAAUCAGCAUCGGCUAACUCCGUGCCAGCAGCCGCGGUAAUACGGAGGAUGCAAGCGUUAUCCGGAAUAAUUGGGCGUAAAGCGUUCGUAGGUGGUUUUGCAAGUCUGCUGUUAAAGCGUGUAGCUUAACUACAUAAUGGCGGUGGAAACUGCAAAACUAGAGUGCGUUCGGGGCAGAGGGAAUUCCUGGUGUAGCGGUGAAAUGCGUAGAUAUCAGGAAGAACACCGGUGGCGAAGGCGCUCUGCUAGGCCGCAACUGACACUGAGGGACGAAAGCUAGGGGAGCGAAU